AGUGAACGCUGGCGGUAGGCCUAACACAUGCAAGUCGAACGGCAGCACAGUAAGAGCUUGCUCUUACGGGUGGCGAGUGGCGGACGGGUGAGGAAUACAUCGGAAUCUACUUUUUCGUGGGGGAUAACGUAGGGAAACUUACGCUAAUACCGCAUACGACCUACGGGUGAAAGCAGGGGAUCUUCGGACCUUGCGCGAUUGAAUGAGCCGAUGUCGGAUUAGCUAGUUGGCGGGGUAAAGGCCCACCAAGGCGACGAUCCGUAGCUGGUCUGAGAGGAUGAGAGGCCACACGGGAAGAGAGUCACGGUCCAGGCGCAUGCGGGAGGCAGCAGUGCGGAAUAUUCGGCAAUGGGCGAAAGCUUGACAGAGCAAUGCCGCGGGAGUGAAGAAGGUCUUCUGAUUGUAAAGCUCUGUUAUUAGGAAAGAACAAAUGGGUAAGUAAUAAUGCCUGGCCUGACGGUACCGAAUCAAAAAGCGACGGCUAACUUCGU
RNAcentral lists this ribosomal RNA (491 nucleotides) under uncultured bacterium. RNAcentral describes it as "partial 16S ribosomal RNA". It matches the Rfam family "Bacterial small subunit ribosomal RNA", at positions 29 to 506 of the family's 1533-position model. The record is from RNAcentral.